Long non-coding RNA from Tripterygium wilfordii, 979 nucleotides. RefSeq lists it as uncharacterized. NCBI's taxonomy places the organism in Eukaryota, Viridiplantae, Streptophyta, Magnoliopsida, Celastrales, Celastraceae. The record is from RefSeq and is a predicted model, not a curated record. The transcript is spliced from 3 exons.
CAAUAAACAUCACACGUGCACAUAACAAAGCCCCUCCCUUUAAAAGACCUUGCCCUCAAGGUCGGGAAAUUUCCGACGAAGUUCAUCCAAGUCUUCCCAAGUGGCAUCCUCAGCUGCAGCUCCCUUCCAGCGGAUCAACAAUUCUGCUCCAGCUCGGUUUCCCUUCUUUUUAAGCCGCCUUGACAAAACCUGUUCUGGUUCUAGGGAAAGGAACCCUUCAGCCAUGAUGGGUGGAAAGUUAGGGAUUGGUUCAAUAUGAGUUCCCAGUGUUUUCUUGAGACAAGAAACAUGAAAGAUAGGGUAAAUCUAUGACUCGAUCGGAAGAUUUAGCUUGUAUGCGACUUUACCGACACUUUUAACCACUUGGAAGGGGCCAUAAAAUUUUGGGGAUAACUUCAAAUUUCUUCUGAGUGCCACGGUCAUUUGUCGAUAGGGUCUCAAUCUCAGCUUGUACCAUAGUGGAGCCUGGCUCAUAAGGCAUGAGACGAGGUGGUGGGUAGCCGUAGACUACUUCGAAUGGGCUGAGUUUGGUAGAUGUGUGUGUGGAAGUAUUGUAAGACCACUUUGCUAAGGGAAGCCAUCUUGCCCAAUCCUUUGGAUGAUCCCCUGAAAAGCAUCUAAGCUUAAAGAUGUUAUCUAUGAAUAAUCUGGCUAUACUAGUAGCAGUGUAAGGGUGAGCCAGGGAAAGAAAAUGGGCAUACUUGCUGAAUCUGUCCACUAUGACCAUGAUAACAUUGUGGCCUCUAGAAGGUGGGAGUCCCUCAAUGAAGUCCAUGCUAAUGUCUAUCCAAGCUCUAUGUGGAAUUGGCAGAGGUUGGAGAAGCCCUACUGGGUGUAAGUUCUCAGCCUUAUUGCGUUGGCAUACACUGCAUUCCCUGAUGAAGGUUCUGAUAUCUCUGUGCAUCCCAGACCAGUAAAACUCUCUCUUGACCCUUGAAUGUGUUUUCUGUGAUCCCAUAUGACCACCUAACGGGUUGUU